GUAAACCUAUCCUUUAAUUAGGUUAGGAUGAAGCUUCGCCGUAUAUUACCUUAUUGGUGAUCUAUGGCAUUAAUAGCAUUUAAGUGGUGGCACAGAAUCGGAGGCCCCGACUGUUUACUUAAAACACAGCUUUCUGCGACGAAUAAUAUCUUUGUAUAGAAAGCGAAUUUUGCCCAAUGCCAUUAAUAUAAGGUCGAUAAGCGCAUAGCGUAAUUAUUGGCUGAAGUUCUGGUCAAUGGCGGUCUUAUCUAUGAGGAUCCUAAGGUAGCAAAAUUAAUUGUCCAUUAAAUGUGGUCCUGACUGAAUAAAGUAACGAUGGUCUCGCUGUCUCUACAAGUAUCUCAGUGAAAUUGAAUUAGCCGUGCAGAUGCGGUUUAACUUCGGGUAGACGG
RNAcentral lists this ribosomal RNA (392 nucleotides) under Tulasnella sp. 193. RNAcentral describes it as "LSU rRNA". It matches the Rfam family "Bacterial large subunit ribosomal RNA", at positions 1717 to 2083 of the family's 2925-position model. Lineage: Eukaryota; Fungi; Basidiomycota; Agaricomycetes; Cantharellales; Tulasnellaceae. The record is from RNAcentral.